This 492-nucleotide ribosomal RNA is filed under the name uncultured bacterium. Its description in RNAcentral is "partial 16S ribosomal RNA". It matches the Rfam family "Bacterial small subunit ribosomal RNA", at positions 29 to 507 of the family's 1533-position model. The record is from RNAcentral.
AGUGAACGCUGGCGGUAGGCCUAACACAUGCAAGUCGAACGGCAGCACAGUAAGAGCUUGCUCUUACGGGUGGCGAGUGGCGGACGGGUGAGGAAUACAUCGGAAUCUACUUUUUCGUGGGGGAUAACGUAGGGAAACUUACGCUAAUACCGCAUACGACCUACGGGUGAAAGCAGGGGAUCUUCGGACCUUGCGCGAUUGAAUGAGCCGAUGUCGGAUUAGCUAGUUGGCGGGGUAAAGGCCCACCAAGGCGACGAUCCGUAGCUGGUCUGAGAGGAUGAGCAGCCACAAGGGAACUAGAUCAGGGGCCGGACUCCUACGGGAGACAGCCGUGGGGAAUAGGGGACAAUGGGCGCAAGCCUGAACCAGCCAUACCGAGGGAGUGAAGACGGCCUUCGGGUUCUCAAGCCCUUUUGUUGGGAAAGAAAAGCAGCAGGUGGAUACCCCGCUGUUCUGACGGGGCCCAAAGAAUAAGCAGAGCCUACCUUCGUG